GAUGAACGCUGGCGGCGUGCCUAAUACAUGCAAGUCGAGCGAACAAACGAGGAGCUUGCUCCUCUGACGUUAGCGGCGGACGGGUGAGUAACACGUGGAUAACCUACCUAUAAGACUGGGAUAACUUCGGGAAACCGGAGCUAAUACCGGAUAAUAUAUUGAACCGCAUGGUUCAAUAGUGAAAGACGGUUUUGCUGUCACUUAUAGAUGGAUCCGCGCCGCAUUAGCUAGUUGGUAAGGUAACGGCUUACCAAGGCAACGAUGCGUAGCCGACCUGAGAGGGUGAUCGGCCACACUGGAACUGAGACACGGUCCAGACUCCUACGGGAGGCAGCAGUAGGGAAUCUUCCGCAAUGGGCGAAAGCCUGACGGAGCAACGCCGCGUGAGUGAUGAAGGUCUUCGGAUCGUAAAACUCUGUUAUUAGGGAAGAACAAAUGUGUAAGUAACUAUGCACGUCUUGACGGUACCUAAUCAGAAAGCCACGGCUAACUACGCG
RNAcentral lists this ribosomal RNA (497 nucleotides) under uncultured bacterium. Its description in RNAcentral is "partial 16S ribosomal RNA". It matches the Rfam family "Bacterial small subunit ribosomal RNA", at positions 28 to 507 of the family's 1533-position model. The record is from RNAcentral.